AGAUCAUGACCUGAGCCGAAGUCAGACGCUUAACCGACUGAGCCACUCAGGCACCCCCAAUCUGUGUGUGGCAGGCACUAAAAUAAAAUGUACAUUUUUGGCCUGACAAAGAGUUUACGUGUAUAGUAUAUCUUACAGGGACAACACAAGUUCAAUAAUAUGAGUUCUAAUUGUAAUAGUUACAGAUGUCUUCACAAUAAUUAUGUGACUAGAUAGUUAACAUUUCCUUUCCCAUUUAAAUCCAGUCUGGCUUGGAGUUCUCACUUGAGGAAGUCAACAAGAGGUGUUCUGUGUUUGUCAUUUCCCAUGACUGUUUCCCCACCAUGUGGGUGUCCCAGGCCUGACGGGGAGACCGGUUGGUGGGGAGGUGGGUGGGUCCCUGCUGGCUCAGGCUUCUCCCAGGCAGGCCUUUCUUCCCCUGGCACCCCUCACCUCGUGCUGGCCACAGACCCUUGGUGCCCCUCUCAGUACAGACAUGGGUCCCCAGCCCCCUGGGUGGCCCCCUGUGUGCCCUUCUCAUUAUGAAGGAGGAAAAAAUACUUUUACAACCUAUUUCCUCUCUGGAAAUUCAAGGUGUUUUUCAGAAGUUUCCUUGUUCACGACAAGGGGAUUUCAAUCCUUAAGGAGCGACUUGAUGGCUGUCGGCCAGUCUGGAGCAGCCUCAGGAAAGUGACUGAGCCCUAUUUGAACUGGCUCACUUUCAUAUUUCCCAGGAGAGGAAACAAUUGUACGUUUCUCUAUUCAAGGACCAGAAGUGUAGAAGUGAUCUCUGCAUGCUGUGCUGGGGAUAGGUGGCUCAAUUCUUUUGAGGGUUUCUACUUUUUUCCUGCUUUAGGUUCUGAAAUUGCCCCUCCCCCCACACCCCUUCCCUCUAUUCCAUUGGGUUGGGAAGCCAUUGCUGACAGACGGAUCGGACAAAGUACAAUUUAGCCACUGUUACGGGUUCAGAUGACAUGUUGAAGAUCUAACCUCAGGUAUCUCAGAAUAGAUGUACUCUCAAAAACCUGGACCCGGGUGACUGAGAAGACACGCAUACAAUUAUACCAGCACAAGAAACCCUGGAAACAAUCCAAACGUUCAUCAUCGGCCAGAGAAUAAAGUAUGUUUACACAAUGGGAUUCUCUCUGGUGGUGAAAUGAAUGAGCGAGAGCUAUACAUGUAUAUGUAAAUGAGUCUUGCAAACAGAAGACGAUAGACAAUGUAGAAUAAAGAUAUGCAAACUGCAGAAGAAUA
This is a long non-coding RNA of Leopardus geoffroyi (Geoffroy's cat), 1233 nucleotides long. RefSeq lists it as uncharacterized. The record is from RefSeq and is a predicted model, not a curated record. Lineage: Eukaryota; Metazoa; Chordata; Mammalia; Carnivora; Felidae. The transcript is spliced from 2 exons.